CUCAAAGAGCUAAAACUUUCUUCUUUGGCUGGUUGUUGAAGCCUUUGGUAUAUGGAGACUAUCCGGAUGAAAUGAAGAAAACCGUG
Camelina sativa (false flax) is the source of this 86-nucleotide non-coding RNA. The record is from RefSeq and is a predicted model, not a curated record. Lineage: Eukaryota; Viridiplantae; Streptophyta; Magnoliopsida; Brassicales; Brassicaceae.